UGGCACAGCCAUAUCACCCUGCAGCCCAAGACUGGUUGGUUGCCCACUGAAGCUAAGCAGGUUUGAGCCUGGUCAGACCUGGAUGGGAGAGCUCCUGGGAAAACUAGGUUGCUGUUGGAA
Ribosomal RNA from Sinocyclocheilus grahami, 120 nucleotides. The record is from Ensembl. NCBI's taxonomy places the organism in Eukaryota, Metazoa, Chordata, Actinopteri, Cypriniformes, Cyprinidae.